AUUUACUAUUUUCAAUCUUUCUAUCUUCACUUGAAAAGAACAGAAAUGGAAGCAUUUCCCAGCAGGCAACGUGGAUUUUUUUCCAAUUGAGUCGAUCUUCUGUUUUUGCAGGUUUUGUGGAUAUAUGUUUAGGAAUGUCCUUCUUGUGCUGUAAGGUUGUUUCGGUUUCACAUGGCACUGUCACUAUCAGCUGUGCAGGCAUGUCGCCGUGUGUUUACAAUUUUACACAUAUUUCUUUGGGCAUUAGAUAACUCCAUGAAUUUCUUUAAUCCUCGUAUUAAUGCUAUUUUUACUUUCCUGUUCUGAUGUGAAUUGCUUUUCUUGAUUGAAAUGUUGUCUAAUAUUUUAGAAUUUUAUGAGCAAAGUCUCAUUCAUAAUGGAGCUGUUUGAACUUCUUUUUCUUGACGAUUCUCUCAAAUGGCCUCUUUAUUGGGUUUAAAGGACAGGUUUCUCCUUGCUUGUAGAUAUUUGAAGGAGGAAAGUGCCAUUCAUUUAAUCAUUCAUUCUGAAGUUGUUUAUGAAUUGUUGGACUUCAAUAUCUUGCAUAUGUUGGAUUUUAUUGUGUGCUUCUGAGAACAACAAAGGCAUUUUACAACUGUUUCCAAGCAGAAGAAGAAUAUAUGGGCUUACUUUCUCAUCUAUGUUUCUGGAUCAUGUAGAGGAGAGAAAUAAUAGGAUGUUGUUGGGGCAUUUAUUGCAGUUGCUAAGUUGAAAUCCAUCCUUUUUAAGUGUACAUGGCUUUGUGAUAAGCUAAAUGUAGAUUUCUUGACUUUGUAUGAGUUGGGAAAUAUGGUAUGCUACGGCUAAUAAUUUUGUUUUGAUUUUUUAUCAUCUUAGUAACUAGUAUGGCUUUGCGAUAAGCUAAAUGUAGAUUUCUUGACUUUGU
This 886-nucleotide unclassified non-coding RNA is filed under the name Hevea brasiliensis (rubber tree). The record is from RNAcentral. Lineage: Eukaryota; Viridiplantae; Streptophyta; Magnoliopsida; Malpighiales; Euphorbiaceae.